RNAcentral lists this ribosomal RNA (253 nucleotides) under uncultured bacterium. RNAcentral's name for it is "partial 16S ribosomal RNA". It matches the Rfam family "Bacterial small subunit ribosomal RNA", at positions 524 to 776 of the family's 1533-position model. The record is from RNAcentral.
UACGAAGGGAGCUAGCGUUGUUCGGAAUCACUGGGCGUAAAGGGUGCGUAGGCGGGUCUUUAAGUCAGGGGUGAAAUCCUGGAGCUCAACUCCAGAACUGCCUUUGAUACUGAAGAUCUUGAGUUCGGGAGAGGUGAGUGGAAUUCCCAGUGUAGAGGUGAAAUUCGUAGAUAUUGGGAAGAACACCGGUGGCGAAGGCGGCUCACUGGCUCGUUUCUGACGCUCAGGCGCGAUAGCGUGGGGAUCAAACAGG